GGGCGGGUAGCUCAGGUGGUUAGAGCGAUGGCCUUACAAGCCGUAGGUCAUAGGUUCGAGUCCUAUCCCGCCUACCA
This 77-nucleotide transfer RNA is filed under the name Candidatus Poribacteria bacterium. RNAcentral's name for it is "tRNA-Val". It matches the Rfam family "tRNA". Rfam says of the family: Transfer RNA (tRNA) molecules are approximately 80 nucleotides in length. Their secondary structure includes four short double-helical elements and three loops (D, anti-codon, and T loops). Further hydrogen bonds mediate the characteristic L-shaped molecular structure. tRNAs have two regions of fundamental functional importance: the anti-codon, which is responsible for specific mRNA codon recognition, and the 3' end, to which the tRNAs corresponding amino acid is attached (by aminoacyl-tRNA synthetases). tRNAs cope with the degeneracy of the genetic code in two manners: having more than one tRNA (with a specific anti-codon) for a particular amino acid; and 'wobble' base-pairing, i.e. permitting non-standard base-pairing at the 3rd anti-codon position. The record is from RNAcentral. Lineage: Bacteria; Candidatus Poribacteria. RNAcentral also lists the same sequence under 1 other name.